UCCCUCUCUUGCGUCCCCCACCACGGUCGUGCAGCGAAACGCUUACUACCUCGUCUCACCUGUCUUCUUAAUUUCUCGGCGACGCGCGUCUGCGAUUUUCGCGCUCGCGUUACGCACCGAUCGCGGCAGCUACCGAGCACGCGCGCGCGCUCGCCAAUAUCCGUGUUAUCUCGGAUCGGCCAGCGUGUCCCGUCCCGAAAAUCGACCGCUCGAUCCGCCGAACUCGAGCUACAUACAGUACUUUCGCGGCGUAACCGAGCCGAAUUCGUGGCAAUCGUGUUUUCGGCGUUAUCGCGCUGAUAAGCCUCGCGAAAGUGUGCUGUGCUCCUCCGAUAAGUGGACCUAACCCAGACUCAUCCGCGUUUCCAAUACUACAUAUCGUUUCACGAUGGACGAAUCGCGGGGGUCAUUCUUCGUGGACACGGUCAACCGACGUGUCCUUCCGUAGCCGCUCGACGAAACUGCGAGGACGAGGAAACUGACCGCAAAGGAGAAACUGGACGGGUUUAAUUCAAACGUCGAGUGAACGGUUACAUCGUACCGAGGAAAUUAAGCGUGUAUCUUUGGUAAUGUUGUCAGCUGUUAGGUCCCCGAAGGCUCCCCGGAUCGACGAACUUUCCUGACUUCGUAUUCGAACGAAGCUUAGCUUCUUCCUUGCCGAAAGGUUCGUCGGUAGCUUUCGAAACUGACAGUCGAAACAGCACUUCACCGUGUUGCAUCUUGCAUCAUACUAUUUCGCGGUGCUCCCGCGUUGAUCGAGCGCUCCGCGCAGUCCCAUAUUGUGCUUGUCGAGCUAGCCACCGCUGCGAACCCACUUCCUAUUAGCUCGAAAACAAGAUUACUCAGCAAUGAACGGUGGAUCCCGCGUGGCGUGACGUCGCGCGGCGAUUAUUCGGUAGGUGUGUUAUCAGCGGGCGAGCUGAUUCUCGGGAGCAUCGCGGGAGAGGCGGUGAUCUCUCGGUACGACACACUCGCAGAAGUGACCGGGCACAUAAAUUACUGCCGCGAAAACGAAGGAAAACGCCCGUCGAAUUAAUCAAAUUUAUCGGUAGAGAAAAAAGUGGGCCUCGCGAAACGGCGAGCAUCAAUCAAACAAUUUCCAACGAAAACAAGUUCAGUGUUCCAUUGUAGUCAUCAACCCCGAGCUGUAAAAGCAUCCCCCGCAGGAUAGAGAGAAACGAGGGACCAAUUCACAAGUGCCGAAUGAAAUUCCAGGCCAUCAAUCCUCCGCCGAUAAAUUACAAGCGGCGCUGGUCCGCGCCCGGAACGAUCGGCCCACAUCUUCCAGUCUAACCGACGGCCAUUAAUUGCUGGAAAGUGCUCGCGAUCGUCGCAUAGUUGUCGUAGUUUAUCCGGCCCUUCGAAUCGAACCGAUUCGGCCGCUUCAUAACGCGGUCGCCGCGUCCGGGCGGCGCGGUGCGGCGCGGCGCGGACAAUCGCGGUGAUUAGCGGCUCGCAACGGACACCGAACGAAUUCCACGCGAGAAAUUCACAAUAACCGCCGUCAACCCCGCGGCGAAAAGCGAUUUAAUUGUCCGCUGGAACGCGUUAGCCGGGUAAUGCGCCGGCUCGCUUAUUGACGGUUCAUCCGCAGUGCUUUAAACGCCUCGCGUGAUUGCCGUUACACGUGAUACGCCGGGGUCGUUUAUCUCUCGCGGUGCUGACCUCGCCGAAAUGUGGCCAAUUCCACCCCGGGCCAGAUCCCUGUGAAGAGGACUGGCGGAGGAUUCGUCGGGGAAUCUAAUCGGCUGACGCGGUGAACUGUGCUUUUCCUUUUUUUUCUCUCUCUUCUUCUUUCUCCUCCUCCUCCGCCUCCUUCUCCUGCUCCUCCGCCGUUCGUUUCUAUUUUUUCGUCGGCUUGGCACGAUGACAACGCUGAAGAAGGACGAGAAGAGGGCGUCGAAAAAGUCGGCGAAGACGAGCAGCCAGAAAGCCCCCGUUCGUAACCCGAGGACCACGGCGAAACUGAAGCAGCAGCCGCAUCACCACCACCACCUUGUAAAAACCGAAUCGAACGCCGAACCAGGAGAUCCGGAAAAUGAUUCGGUGAGCCUCAAAGUUGAGGAGGGCCAGCAGGCGGAGGGCGCUGCGAAGAAAGGCGGGAAAUUCGAACGCAAGAGCUCGUUCCGUCGGAAAAUCGGGUCGCUGAUAAGAAGCAGUGCCGAGUUACCGGCAGCGAUAAACCGCGGCCUGCAGCCGAUUAAGCGUAGCUUGAGCUUCAGCAAAGACUUGAACCGGCUGCACGAGCCGUCAAAGCCGUCGCGGAUUGGCAGCGUGCUAUGGUAUAACAGUCUGGUGUCUUUGGCAGAGGAUGAAUGCCUGGAUGAGACUCCGCCAAGGAAGGAGCACAGCUUCCCUCCACCGAAGGCUCAGGUCACCAGGACGCAAAGUCUCAUCGACACAACUAGCGUCAGGACUCCACGGCGACGGGUGAACGAGCUGCUGAUCAAAACCGCCCCUUACGGCCGGCACAGCGACCACUAUGACUCCACAAUAGAUUUAAGUAAUCCACCCUGCGAGGCGAGCAGCCUGCCCGCCCUUGCCAUCGCGGAUGAUCCCGGCAACGAGCAGAAGUACCUUCGCGAAGGCGAGCAACAGGUCAGGAACAAAUGGAUGAACCUGAAAGCCGCGGUUCGAAAUUUGUCUCAGCUACAUGUCGGACAUACUACAGCGAAGCAUCACUCGGUGCGUUCGAGGUCGUUGACCCAGCUGGACGCUCUAGGCAGCAGCAUGCUGGACACGGGGGAGCACCAUCUGGGGAGUGGUCCCCCGCAACAGCAACCCCAUCAGCUUCACCACCAUUACCAGCCGCAACAGUUACAGCACCACCCCCAAAACGUAGAAAGUAAUCCGCGUUUUUUGGUGCCCAGCGCGGCGUCCAUCGAGAGCACGCAUCAGAACCGCACCAGGCACAAACUCUCACGGUCACAGGUAUCUAGCAGCGAGUACUUCAGCGUCAGCUUCGAUCUACCAGAGGAAUUUGGCUCCCUGGACCGGGACGAGUUCCUACCCGCCUCGAAAGGGACCUGUUUGGCGGAGGCGUUGAAUACCAGUUGCGAGAAACGCGGUAUCGACUUAUCGCGCAUCGAAGUGUACGAGGGUUUCUCGGCGCCGUUGCCAAUCCAAACGACGGACACGUCGAGUCUCGGCGGGAAACACCUGAGAAUAACAGUCAAAGACGCCGAGAAAUCGAAUUCAAGGCAGACGGGUCAGAAGGCCGGCCAAAGCGUUUCCCUGAGGAAAACAACGAGCGGGAGUUAUCGGGGUCGAAGCGGUCUCGGUUUCUUCAGCGUCUCGACGGAAGACUCGAGCGUCGACUCCGAGGUUAGUAGCAGCACGACGAUCACGUCUGGUCGGAGUUCCGCUGGGGCUGCGGGAUUCAAGACCAGCAAGCAACGCUGGAGCGGGUUCUUCAUGAACACGAAGGGCAACAAGCUCGACCUUCUCACCACACACCUGGACGAGUACAAUAAACACGGGGUGCCGAAACUGACGGACGUUCAACUGCCGUACGAACUCACCCUUAACGAAGAUGCCUUGUAUAACUUAGAGGAAGACUGGCGCGACAUCGUUCAAAAUGCGGACCAACUGUCGGAGAAGCAGCAGCAACAGCAGACUGCUUUGUGGGAGUUAGCGCAAACAGAGCUGGCGUACAUUAAGACCUUAAAGGUCGUGACCGACCUGUUCAUGGCGUGCCUGUGCAGCCUGCAGACCUCGAAUAUCCUGACCGAGGUCGACAGGACCAAGCUCUUCAGCAACAUUCCCGAAAUCUACGCCGCGAACCGAUAUUUCUGUACCGAGUACGUUCUGAUGAUGGUGAACUCGUCGAGGUCUACGGGACUACCGCUCGACCCUGGCCACCUUCUGCAAGGUUUCGAGACGUUCGAGCAAACGUUCGCGCCUUACACCAGAUACUGCACCGAGCAGAGCAGGUGUCAGCAAUACUGUAGAGACCGGCUCAACGAUAAUCAACUGUUCGCGGUCUAUCUGAUGUGGUGCGAAACACAGAAGGAUUGCAAUCGGCUGAAACUACUUGACAUACUGGUGAAACCUAUGCAGAGGCUGACCAAAUACUCGCUCCUCCUCAAGGCCGUUCAGAAGAACACGGAGGACGAAGAUCAACGGGCGGAAUUGAUACACAUGAUCAAAUCCGUGGACGACUUCGUGGCGUCCGUGAACGCCGCCCUGAAGAGGAGCGAAGAAACAGCGCGACUGAACAACGCAGCGUCGCGCAUAGAGAGCUACGAUGUGGUCGAGUCCCGCGACGAGGAACUGGAGAAACUGAUUCAAAUCCACAGCAGAUUUGACAUCGCCAAUGUGCCGAUACCCGGCUGCCCCAAAGACACCCUCAGAGUGCUCCUCCGCGAGGGUGACUUGAAACUGAGAGACGCAGCGAGCAGUAAGAUGGAAGUGCGCGUUAUGCUGUUAACCGACAUGCUAUUGAUCUGCAAACCGUUGACCAAGAAACCCUCCUCCGGCGGCUCGUCGGGAUCAGUCGGUUGCGCGUUGAAGAUCAUAAGGCAACCGUACGUAAUCGACCGCAUCCGGAUACACGAGCUGAAGGAGCCAUCCAGCCUGGGGUUGGUCUAUCUGAACGAGUACGAGGCAGCGUCGGCUGCUCUCGUUCUCAGCGCCGGUGAAUCGAAACUGGCCAAGUCUUGGAUGGAAUCCAUAAGGAAAGCUCAGCAGCAAUUUGCGCUGAUGAAGGUGCCGCCGCUCGGUAACACGCUCAACUUGAGCCUAGGAACGGUUAGCCGGCAGCCUAGCACGUACCUAGGUGACGUGGACUUCGACGGGGAGGAGUGUGAACCGAUUUUGAAAACGCCUAGGGGAAGUAGCAGGGCGUCACGUGUUAGCAGCCUUGCCCACAGUCACAGUGGAAGCAUAGAGAUGGAAGGAGUCUCUCCAGGAAGCAGUAGCUUCCUGCCCAGCUAUAACCCAAGUAGGAACGUCAGCGUGGAGACCAGCGAGAUGCCGCACGGGUCGAGCGUGUCCUCCGAGGAAGGUGGCGAGAGUUCAGGACACAAUCACAGACCGUUGCAGAUCAGUCCUAACAAAUUUGAUAAUAGACGGUAUCUGCUGAGUAAGUCGCCGACGCCGAACACACUGAGCGUCCAAGUACCAGCGUAUUCUAGCUUGGGCCAAUCGCUGCCAAACCUGACGCUAGCUACCUCGCCGCAAACAUCGACAGUAUCACCGACACCGCCAAACUCGCUUCUAAUCGUUCCCCAAAUAACAAAGAGCAAGGACACUUUGCUUUCGCCUGGGCACCGAGGUAUCUCGUAUCCGCCGCCGUCGCCCCCGAGGGGGGCACUAAGAAGAGCGUUCGCGAUUCCGCAGUCGCGAAACCCGCCUCUCGUUAAAACGAGACACAUAAGCUCGUCUGUGACACAAACGUUGCCACCUACGAUGAACCUGGACACGGAGGCCAUUGACGAGAGGCGUAGAAGGCUGGAACCUUCGCACAGGAUGCCAUCGGCGAGCAGCAUCGCGGAGGAAAAGAAAUGACAAGAGCUGGCGUACAAGAGUAACCUACCGAAAAGGUAAAUUGCUACGGACCAUCAGCCGUUUGAUAAGGGUGUACGUGAUACGUCGUGUUUCGAAACGUGAAUGGUUGCAUUCUGUUGCCUGUAUGCAAGUGCUGCACACACUUUCAUGCAGGCUCGGAAAACGGAAGGGGAAAUAUAAAUAAAAUUGAGUAAGCGAAACGUCUCGUACUCCCUGUGCCUACGAUAAGAAUCGAGCAAUUUUACAAUCGAUUGGGGCCAUUCGAAAUCAACGUGAAGUUUGUACCACGACCGUAUCAUAGUAACUUAUUUGAUUAGUCGUGUAACAUCUAGAUCUCAUUUUGUAAUUAACCGACGCGGCGGCUCGGACCGCGCGCGUUUAAAUAUUACCCUAGUUCAUUUAGAGUUCUAAGUCGACGAGGAGAACAAGGAAAAGGCCUACCUAGCGUAACUACUAUGUAUCGUGAUUUAAGUUUAGAUGACUAAUUAAUAGUUGGAGUUCAAGACGCCUCUAGCGAAGAUUUUAAACUUAAAAACUAAACAAGAAGAAAAAAAGACAUUGAAAAACGAAGGGAAAAAAAAUUAUUCAACACAACAAACCGAGUUCGUGAUUUAACAAAAAAAUAAAUAAAUAAAUAAAAUAAAGCAUCGAUCGUUUAGAAGAGAGGACACACGUACUUAGGGAAUUCACACUUUUUCUCGUAGAGAAGACAGUUGCGCGCUAAAUCCCUCGUACAAACAAAAGCUUCGAUUAAACCGUACCGAGCGUGGGAGGACACGAGAGAAGCAUCGGGAGAGGAACGCGUUUACUUUAAGUACAAAUUCGAUUUCGCAAUACUUUUGUUGAAGAGACUGAACCGAAGGAGUUGGGCCGUCGACGAGUAUUCACCCAACUAGAGACAACAAUACGUAGACGUGAAACAAGAGCAAUGAUUUUAUACGAGCUCCCCAUGUAAAGUUUCUUUCAACCCUUGCCCCCACUUCCCCCCUUGAAUUUGCGCAGCCUGCAUUAAGCUUAAAAGUGUUAUCUAUCGUAAAAGAAAAAAAUAUCGAUUGUGCGUCAAGUUCAAAAUAUAGUACAUAAUUUAUUAAUCGGUUGUUCAAUUUCAGUACCCGCUCAUUUCCCACCGAUCCUAAAUCAUUGAGAAUCGCUACAGUGAAAGUUGGUUUGAUAAUGUUUUACAGCCUAUUUUAUUAAUACCUUGCACCUUACGAUUAAGAUUAUAUAUAUUACAUAAAGAAUUUUCUGUAUCUU
This is a non-coding RNA of Nomia melanderi (Alkali bee), 6762 nucleotides long. Lineage: Eukaryota; Metazoa; Arthropoda; Insecta; Hymenoptera; Halictidae. The record is from RefSeq and is a predicted model, not a curated record.